UCGAAGGUAGCAUAAUCAGUAGUUUUUUAAUUGAAGGCUGGUAUGAAUGGUUGGACGAAAUAUUAACUGUUUCAUAAAAAUUUAUAUUAGAAUUUUAUUUUUUAGUUAAAAAGCUAAAAUAUAUUUAAAAGACGAGAAGACCCUAUAAAUCUUUAUAUUUAAAUUAUUAUAAUUUUAUAGAUUUUUUUUAUUAUAAUUAUUGAUAAUAUUUUAUUGGGGUGAUAUUAAAAUUUAAUAAACUUUUAAUUAUUUAAAUCAUUAAUUUAUGAAUAAUUGAUCCGUUAUUAAUGAUUAAAAAAAUAAGUUACUUUAGGGAUAACAGCGUAAUUUUUUUGAAGAGUUCUUAUCAAUAAAAAAGAUUGCGACCUCGAUGUUGGAUUAA
RNAcentral lists this ribosomal RNA (382 nucleotides) under Paykullia maculata. RNAcentral's name for it is "partial 16S ribosomal RNA". Lineage: Eukaryota; Metazoa; Arthropoda; Insecta; Diptera; Rhinophoridae. The record is from RNAcentral.